AGUGAACGCUGGCGGUAGGCCUAACGCAUGCAAGUCGAACGGCAGCACAGUAAGAGCUUGCUCUUACGGGUGGCGAGUGGCGGACGGGUGAGGAAUACAUCGGAAUCUACUUUUUCGUGGGGGAUAACGUAGGGAAACUUACGCUAAUACCGCAUACGACCUACGGGUGAAAGCAGGGGAUCUUCGGACCUUGCGCGAUUGAAUGAGCCGAUGUCGGAUUAGCUAGUUGGCGGGGUAAAGGCCCACCAAGGCGACGAUCCGUAGCUGGUCUGAGAGGAUGAUCAGCCAAACUGGAAAUGAGACAAGGGCCAGACUCCUAAGGGAGGCAGCAGUGGGGAAUAAUGGACAAUGGGCGCAAGCCUGAUCCAGCCAUACCGCGUGGGUGAAGAAGGCCUUCGGGUUGGAAAGCCCUUUUGUUGGGAAAGAAAAGCAGCAGGUUAAUACCCCGCUGUUCUGACGGUACCCAAAGAAUAAGCACCGGCUAACUUCGUG
Molecule: ribosomal RNA, 492 nt
Filed under: uncultured bacterium
Lineage: Bacteria
Description: partial 16S ribosomal RNA
Rfam family: Bacterial small subunit ribosomal RNA
Source: RNAcentral